This 1750-nucleotide long non-coding RNA is filed under the name Brassica rapa (field mustard). RNAcentral's name for it is "long non-coding RNA (BRAP_LNC001904)". The record is from RNAcentral. Lineage: Eukaryota; Viridiplantae; Streptophyta; Magnoliopsida; Brassicales; Brassicaceae.
AGCCGGCUCCUUACCAUCCUCCUUACUACUACAAGUCUCCACCACCACCUUCUCCGGUUUACUACUACAAGUCUCCACCACCACCAACUCCAACUUAUGUCUAUAAAUCACCGCCUCCACCAACCCCAGCGUAUGUCUACAAAUCGCCUCCUCCUCCUACCCCAACAUACGUCUAUAAAUCUCCUCCACCACCAACUCCGACUUACGUCUACAAAUCACCACCACCGCCUACUCCAACGUAUGUGUAUAAGUCUCCGCCUCCACCAACCCCUACGUAUGUCUACAAGUCGCCCCCACCACCAACUCCAACCUAUGUUUACAAAUCACCGCCUCCUCCUACUCCGACCUACGUCUACAAGUCGCCGCCUCCUCCUACCCCAACUUAUGUUUACAAGUCGCCACCACCUCCAACACACACUCCUACACCAUACUACUACCAUUCUCCACCACCACCAGUUAAAUCUCCUCCACCUCCAUAUUAUUACCAUUCGCCACCACCACCCGUAAAAUCUCCACCACCGCCAUAUUAUUAUCAUUCACCACCCCCUCCGGUGAAAUCUCCUCCUCCUCCUUACUACUACCACUCUCCACCCCCUCCGGUGAAGUCUCCUCCUCCACCUUACUACUACCAGUCACCACCCCCUCCCGUAAAGUCACCACCACCACCAUAUUAUUACCAUUCACCACCUCCUCCGGUCAAAUCUCCUCCUCCACCCUACUAUUACCAUUCACCUCCUCCACCGAUGAAAUCUCCACCACCACCAUACUACUACCACUCACCACCUCCUCCAGUCAAAUCUCCUCCUCCACCGUACUAUUACCAUUCACCUCCUCUACCGGUGAAAUCUCCACCACCACCAUACUACUACCAUUCACCACCUCCUCCUGUCAAAUUUCCUCCUCCACCAUACUAUUACCACUCACCACCCCCACCGGUCAAAUCCCCUCCACCACCUUACUACUACCACUCACCACCCCCACCGGUCAAAUCUCCUCCUCCACCAUACUACUACCACUCCCCACCCCCACCGGUCAAAUCUCCUCCACCACCUUACUACUACCACUCACCACCCCCACCGGUCAAAUCUCCUCCACCACCCUAUUACUACCACUCACCACCUCCACCGGUGAAGUCGCCACCACCGCCAUACUAUUACCAUUCACCACCCCCACCGGUCAAAUCUCCUCCACCACCCUAUUACUACCAUUCACCACCUCCACCGGUGAAAUCGCCACCACCGCCAUAUUAUUACCACUCACCACCCCCACCGGUCAAAUCUCCUCCUCCACCAUACUACUAUCACUCACCGCCCCCUCCAAUGAAAUCUCCUCCACCACCAUAUGUUUACCAUUCACCACCUCCACCCAUGAAAUCUCCUCCUCCACCAUACUACUAUCACUCACCACCUCCACCAGUAAAGUCUCCACCACCACCACCAUAUUAUUACCAUUCACCACCUCCUCCAGUAAAAUCUCCUCCUCCACCAUACUACUACCAUUCACCACCUCCUCCGGUGAAGUCUCCACCACCGCCAUACCAUUACAACUCUCCACCACCACCAGUAAAAUCUCCCCCACCUCCAGUAUACAUCUACGCCUCUCCUCCACCUCCUACCCAUUACUAGGCUCAUCAAAUUCAACCAAAUUUCCCCAUUAUUCAAGUAAAGUCCCAACGCUUCAACAUUUUCAAUAUGCUUCAUAUCCAUAUCGAUAGAACUUUGUCUCAUUAUCUCAAUUUCUUCUUCGCAGG